GGUCUGGUGGUGUAGUUGGUUAUCACGUCAGUCUAACAGCUCGUCUCUCGUCUGGUUCACUGAAGGUCUCCGGUUCAAGUCCGGGCUAGAUCA
Molecule: non-coding RNA, 93 nt
Organism: Colletotrichum somersetense
Lineage: Eukaryota; Fungi; Ascomycota; Sordariomycetes; Glomerellales; Glomerellaceae
Source: the annotation of a GenBank genome assembly